CACGUCGGACUAGCUUUUCAGAAAGACAACCAGGCAGCAAGCAGAAGACCCAACAACACCACAGGCAAGCUCGAGUGAAGGAAGCGACCCUAACACGAGCAAUCUUAAUGAAGACCUGCUUUUCUAAAUCACAUUUUAUGCUAGGAGUAAGUACAAAAGUACCCAGCAAGCCAUAACCAUAACUAAACAAGUAUAAAACAUGCAAGGAGUACAAAGGAAUAGGGUUCAUCAAAGGGGUUUUGAUAACAAUCCUACCAUUAAUAGUUUUGCCCUACUUUCAUAAACAUUUUAUUCAUAAAAAGGUAUAAAAUGAUAUUUUAAAAUAGUAGUAGUAAUAUUACAUCACC
This 347-nucleotide long non-coding RNA is filed under the name Oryza brachyantha (malo sina). RNAcentral describes it as "long non-coding RNA (OBRA_LNC002637)". Lineage: Eukaryota; Viridiplantae; Streptophyta; Magnoliopsida; Poales; Poaceae. The record is from RNAcentral.